RNAcentral lists this transfer RNA (72 nucleotides) under Camelus bactrianus (Bactrian camel). It matches the Rfam family "tRNA". Rfam says of the family: Transfer RNA (tRNA) molecules are approximately 80 nucleotides in length. Their secondary structure includes four short double-helical elements and three loops (D, anti-codon, and T loops). Further hydrogen bonds mediate the characteristic L-shaped molecular structure. tRNAs have two regions of fundamental functional importance: the anti-codon, which is responsible for specific mRNA codon recognition, and the 3' end, to which the tRNAs corresponding amino acid is attached (by aminoacyl-tRNA synthetases). tRNAs cope with the degeneracy of the genetic code in two manners: having more than one tRNA (with a specific anti-codon) for a particular amino acid; and 'wobble' base-pairing, i.e. permitting non-standard base-pairing at the 3rd anti-codon position. Lineage: Eukaryota; Metazoa; Chordata; Mammalia; Artiodactyla; Camelidae. RNAcentral also lists the same sequence under 3 other names. The record is from Rfam by way of RNAcentral.
GAGGGUGUAGCUCAGUGGUAGAGUGAGUGCUUAGCAUGCACAAGGUCCUGGGUUCAAUCCCCAGUACCUCCA